This 77-nucleotide transfer RNA is filed under the name Acinetobacter baumannii 44362_6. RNAcentral's name for it is "tRNA-Arg". It matches the Rfam family "tRNA". Rfam says of the family: Transfer RNA (tRNA) molecules are approximately 80 nucleotides in length. Their secondary structure includes four short double-helical elements and three loops (D, anti-codon, and T loops). Lineage: Bacteria; Pseudomonadati; Pseudomonadota; Gammaproteobacteria; Moraxellales; Moraxellaceae. The record is from RNAcentral.
GCGCUCAUAGAUCAGCUGGAUAGAGCACUUGGCUACGAACUAAGGGGUCGGGAGUUCGAAUCUCUCUGAGCGCACCA